This 1136-nucleotide ribosomal RNA is filed under the name uncultured marine eukaryote. RNAcentral's name for it is "SSU rRNA". It matches the Rfam family "Eukaryotic small subunit ribosomal RNA", at positions 607 to 1798 of the family's 1831-position model. The record is from RNAcentral.
AAGUUGUUGCAGUUAAAAAGCUCGUAGUUGAAGGUUUAACGCUUGCUGUGCGGCCGCUUGAUUGCGGUGCGUGCGGCGUGUGUUUUAGCUUGGGUGUGUUUGUGCACCCAUUGUUUACCGUGAGAAAAUCAGAGUGUUCAAAGCAGGCUAUGUGCUUGAAUACGUCAGCAUGGGAUAAUGAUUUAGGACCCUGGUGGUCUUUGCAUUGUUGGUUGCGUGCCGGGAGUAAUGAUUAAUAGGGAUGACUGGGGGCACUCGUACUCACAGGCCAGAGGUGAAAUUCUAAGACUCUGUGAUGACGGCCGACUGCGAAAGCAUGUUGCCCAGGGCGUUUUCAUUAAUCAAGAACGAAAGUCAGGGGAUUGAAGAGGAUUAGAUACCCUCGUAAUCUUGACCAUAAACUAUGCCGACUCAGGAUUGGUGGAUGGCGUGUUUUUUGCCUUCACCAGCACUGUAUGAGAAAUCAAAGUCUUUGGGUUCCGGGGGGAGUAUGGUCGCAAGGCUGAAACUUAAAGGAAUUGACGGAAGGGCACCACCAGGAGUGGAGCCUGCGGCUUAAUUUGACUCAACACGGGGAAACUCACCAGGUCCGGACAUACGUAGGAUUGACAGAUUGACCGCUCUUUCAUGAUUGUAUGGUUGGUGGUGCAUGGCCGUUCUUAGUUCGUGGAGUGAUUUGUCUGGUUAAUUCCGUUAACGAACGAGACCUCCGCCUGCUAACUAGGUGGCCGCUGUGUGCAGCGGUGCACCUUCUUAGAGGGACUGCGGGCGUUUAGUCCGUGGAAGUUGGAGGCAAUAACAGGUCUGUGAUGCCCUUCGAUGUUCUGGGCCGCACGCGCGCUACACUGGUCGGUGCAACGAGUGUAUUUGUUUGUCCGACAGGCCUGACAAAUCUGUGAAGCCCGACCGUGCUUGGGAUAGAUUCUUGCAAUUUUUGAUCUUGAACGAGGAAUUCCUAGUAAACGCAAGUCAUCAGCUUGCAUUGAUUACGUCCCUGCCCUUUGUACACACCGCCCGUCGCACCUACCGAUUGGGUGGUCCGGUGAAACACCAGGAUUGGGACGCAGUCCGUAAGGGUUGUGUCCUGAGAAUGGAGGUGAACCUUGCCAUCUAGAGGAAGGUGAAGUCGUAACAAG